AUACUUACCUGGCAGGGAAGACAACCAUGAUCAGGAAGGUGGUUUUUCCAGGGCAAGGCUCAUCCAUUGCACUUGGGAUGUGCUGACCCCUGCAAUAUCCCCAAAUGCGGGAAACUCAGCUGCAUAAUUUGUGGUAGUGGGGGACUGUGUUUGCACUCUCCCCUU
RNAcentral lists this small nuclear RNA (165 nucleotides) under Nannospalax galili (Upper Galilee mountains blind mole rat). RNAcentral describes it as "U1 spliceosomal RNA (ENSNGAG00000004798.1)". It matches the Rfam family "U1 spliceosomal RNA". Rfam says of the family: U1 is a small nuclear RNA (snRNA) component of the spliceosome (involved in pre-mRNA splicing). Lineage: Eukaryota; Metazoa; Chordata; Mammalia; Rodentia; Spalacidae. The record is from Rfam by way of RNAcentral.